UACCAGCACCCCGAGUGGUCGGGACGAUUAUUGGGCCUAAAGCAUCCGUAGCCGGUCCUACAAGUCUUCCGUUAAAUCCACCUGCUUAACAGAUGGGCUGCGGAAGAUACUAUAGGGCUAGGAGGCGGGAGAGGCAAGCGGUACUCAGUGGUAGGGGUAAAAUCCGUUGAUCCAUUGAAGACCACCAGUGGCGAAGGCGGCUUGCCAGAACGCGCUCGACGGUGAGGGAUGAAAGCUGGGGGAGCAAACCGGG
This 253-nucleotide ribosomal RNA is filed under the name uncultured bacterium. RNAcentral describes it as "partial 16S ribosomal RNA". It matches the Rfam family "Archaeal small subunit ribosomal RNA", at positions 474 to 728 of the family's 1478-position model. The record is from RNAcentral.